Molecule: ribosomal RNA, 456 nt
Filed under: uncultured bacterium
Lineage: Bacteria
Description: bacterial SSU rRNA
Rfam family: Bacterial small subunit ribosomal RNA
Source: RNAcentral
AUUGAACGCUGGCGGCAGGCCUAACACAUGCAAGUCGAACGGUAGCACAGAGAGCUUGCUCUCGGGUGACGAGUGGCGGACGGGUGAGUAAUGUCUGGGAAACUGCCUGAUGGAGGGGGAUAACUACUGGAAACGGUAGCUAAUACCGCAUAACGUCGCAAGACCAAAGAGGGGGACCUUCGGGCCUCUUGCCAUCAGAUGUGCCCAGAUGGGAUUAGCUAGUAGGUGGGGUAACGGCUCACCUAGGCGACGAUCCCUAGCUGGUCUGAGAGGAUGACCAGCCACACUGGAACUGAGACACGGUCCAGACUCCUACGGGAGGCAGCAGUGGGGAAUAUUGCACAAUGGGCGCAAGCCUGAUGCAGCCAUGCCGCGUGUAUGAAGAAGGCCUUCGGGUUGUAAAGUACUUUCAGCAGGGAGGAAGGUGUUGUGGUUAAUAACCGCAGCAAUUGACGU